Molecule: ribosomal RNA, 293 nt
Filed under: uncultured bacterium
Lineage: Bacteria
Description: partial 16S ribosomal RNA
Rfam family: Archaeal small subunit ribosomal RNA
Source: RNAcentral
GUGCCAGCCGCCGCGGUAAUACCGGCAGCUCAAGUGAUGUCCCAUAUUAUUGGGCCUAAAGCGUCCGUAGCUGGCCGACCAAGUCUCCCGGGAAAUCCACCCGCCCAACAGGUGGGCGCCCGGUGGAAACUGUGCGGCUUGGGACCGGAAGGCGCGACGGGUACGUCCGGGGUAGGAGUGAAAUCCCGUAAUCCCGGACGGACUACCGAUGGCGAAAGCACUCUGAGAAGACGGCUUCGACAGUGAGGGACGAAAGCUCGGGUCUCAAACCGGAUUAGAUACCCUAGUAGUCC